RNAcentral lists this small RNA (131 nucleotides) under Paenibacillus sp. TCA20. RNAcentral's name for it is "EGFOA RNA". It matches the Rfam family "EGFOA RNA". Lineage: Bacteria; Bacillati; Bacillota; Bacilli; Caryophanales; Paenibacillaceae. The record is from Rfam by way of RNAcentral.
CCCCUUCCAGAUUGGCGAUGUGACUCCAUCGACCAAUGUCCCGUCCGUGUGCGCCUAUGGCGCAGGCUGCCGGGGGGAGUUAGUUCGACUAUACGCGGUAAAGCACGACCUGGACGCGUCCCACCCCCCGA